AUUGAACGCUGGCGGCAUGCCUAACACAUGCAAGUCGAACGCGUGGGGGAGGGGUGAGACAUGUCUGGGACACUGCCUGAUGGAUGGGGUUACCUCCUGGAAACGGUAGUUAAUCCGGCAUACCUUCCGAUGUGCCCAGAUGGGAUUCGCUUGUUGGUGGGGUAACGGCUUACCAAGGCAACGAUCCCUAGCUGGUCUGAGAGGAUGAACAGCCACACUGGAACUGAGACACGGUCCAGACUCCUACGGGAGGCAGCAGUAGGGAAUAUUGCACAAUGGGCGAAAGCCUGAUGGAGCCAUGCCGCGUGUGUGAUGAAGGCCUUCGGAUUGUAAAGUACUUUUAGUAGGGAAGCGGUACCCGCAGAGGAAGCACCGGCUAACUCCGUGCCAGCAGCCGCGGUAAUUC
This 406-nucleotide ribosomal RNA is filed under the name uncultured bacterium. Its description in RNAcentral is "partial 16S ribosomal RNA". It matches the Rfam family "Bacterial small subunit ribosomal RNA", at positions 30 to 526 of the family's 1533-position model. The record is from RNAcentral.